GGGUGCUAUAAUCCAGUCNAUACGAACAGAUAGGAGCUUGCUCCUUUGACGUUAGCGGCGGACGGGUGAGUAACACGUGGGUAACCUACCUAUAAGACUGGAAUAACUCCGGGAAACCGGGGCUAAUGCCGGAUAACAUUUAGAACCGCAUGGUUCUAAAGUGAAAGAUGGUUUUGCUAUCACUUAUAGAUGGACCCGCGCCGUAUUAGCUAGUUGGUAAGGUAACGGCUUACCAAGGCAACGAUACGUAGCCGACCUGAGAGGGUGAUCGGCCACACUGGAACUGAGACACGGUCCAGACUCCUACGGGAGGCAGCAGUAGGGAAUCUUCCGCAAUGGGCGAAAGCCUGACGGAGCAACGCCGCGUGAGUGAUGAAGGUCUUCGGAUCGUAAAACUCUGUUAUUAGGGAAGAACAAAUGUGUCAAGUAACUGUGCACGUCUUGACGGUACCUAAUCAGAAAGCCACGGCUAACUACGUGCCAGCAGCCGCGGUAUACGUANGUGGCAAGCGUUAUCCGGAAAUUAUUGGGGCGUAAGCGCGCGUAGGCGGGUUUCUUAAGGUCCUGAUGUUGGAA
This 576-nucleotide ribosomal RNA is filed under the name Staphylococcus sp. UST050418-067. RNAcentral's name for it is "bacterial SSU rRNA". It matches the Rfam family "Bacterial small subunit ribosomal RNA", at positions 42 to 602 of the family's 1533-position model. The record is from RNAcentral. Lineage: Bacteria; Bacillati; Bacillota; Bacilli; Caryophanales; Staphylococcaceae.